CAGACUUUGUCAUGGCUCAGGAUGAACGCUAGCGGCAGGCUUAACACAUGCAAGUCGAGGGGCAGCGGGGUGUAGCAAUACACUGCCGGCGACCGGCGCACGGGUGCGUAACGCGUAUGCAACCUACCCAUAACGGGGGCAUAACACUGAGAAAUUGGUACUAAUUCCCCAUAACAUUCGAAGAGGCAUCUCUUUGGGUUGAAAACUCCGGUGGUUAUGGAUGGGCAUGCGUUGUAUUAGCUAGUUGGUGGGG
RNAcentral lists this ribosomal RNA (253 nucleotides) under uncultured bacterium. Its description in RNAcentral is "partial 16S ribosomal RNA". It matches the Rfam family "Bacterial small subunit ribosomal RNA", at positions 8 to 257 of the family's 1533-position model. The record is from RNAcentral.